RNAcentral lists this long non-coding RNA (6559 nucleotides) under Sus scrofa (pig). Its description in RNAcentral is "lncRNA (ENSSSCG00060049537.1)". Lineage: Eukaryota; Metazoa; Chordata; Mammalia; Artiodactyla; Suidae. The record is from RNAcentral.
CGGCAUUGCCAUGAACUGUGGUGUAGGUCACAGACACAGCUCAGAUCUGGUGUUGCUUUGUCUAUGGGGUAGGCCAGAAGCUGCAGCUCUGAUUUGACCCCUAGUCUUGGAACUUCCACAUGCCACAGGUGUGGCCCUAAAAAAGGCCAAAAAAAAAAAUGCACUAAUUUAAGUACCAACCUCUCAAGAUACAGAACAUUUCAUCAUCUCAAAGAGUUCCCUUGAGACCCUUUCCAGUCAAAACUAUACCAAGGUCCACCUUCAUGCAACCACUAGGCUGCUGUCAGGAGAGGUUAGAUCAUUAUUUUCUGGAGUUCAAAGGAGUCAUGUGUAUUUAAUGUAUUCUUUUCUGUUUGGUUUGCCUCCUAGACACUUGCUCAAGUCACUUUUUUCCCAGUAGCUUUUUAUCAAAAUUCUUUAGAAAUUUCUACAUAAGAUGAUCAUACCAUUUGUAAAGACAAUUUUACUACUUUACUUCUAACUGAAUGCCUUUUAUCUCUAUCUAGACAUUAUUUCUUUAGCUGGAAGCUCCAGAAUAAUGCUGAGUAGAAAUUUUAAGACUGAACAUCUUGGAUUGUUCCUUAUGUCAGAAGGAAGUAUCUAGUCUUUCAGCAUAUGCAUGAAGUUAUUUCUAUAGAGUAUCCAUCAAUGGAUCAUAGGAAUCUGACCUUAUCCAGUUGUGGGAGCUAGAUAAGCAGUGCCUUUAAGUUUUUGUAUCUGAUUCUAGAUUUUAAGUCAACAGGGCAGGAAGUUCAAGAAGGAAGAUAGAUAUAACAUGGGGUGACUGUGGACAAGAUGGAACCCGCAGACAUGAGCUGGAAGCUGUGGGACUAGGUCAUGUGCAUUAGCCUUGUUCUCAACUUCAGGGCUGUAUGUGUCUUGCAGAAGCAGCUGGUGCCCUCUGUUACCGAGCUAAACAGACAUCUGGCCCCAAAGUCAAAGAAAAUCAAAGACGAUCCAGUGGAAGGAGAACAACUACAGGUCUGGUUGGUGUCCCAUUCACAGAAAGACUCAAAUUCCCUCUAGCUUUCACGUAUCCCACACAUUUGGAUAAAGUGUGUUUCAUUUUCAUUUCAUUCAGUUUUACUUGCUCCUGUGAUUUCUUCUUUGACCAUUUGAGAAGUUUCUUUUUUAAUCUCCAAGUAUUUGGGAGUUUUCCAGCUAUCUGUUACUGAUUUCUCAUUUAAUUCCAUCUUGUGCAGAGAGCAGAUAUGGUAUGGCUUCUGAUCUUGCGCAUUAGUGAAGGUGUGUUCUGGCCCAGAAUGAGGUCAGUCUUGGUGCACGUUCCCCGUGAGCUUGAGAAGAAUGUGAAAUCUAGAGUUGGAUGAAGCCCUCUGUAGACUACAUUCCAACCAUUUGCUGGAUGGUGUGUUGAGUUUACGAUGUCCUUACUCAUCUUCCGCCUGCUGGAUCUGUCCGUGUCUGAGACAGGAGUGCCGAAGUCUCCAACUCUAACCGUAGAUUCAUCUCUUUUUCCUUGCAGCUCUGUCCAUUUUUGCCUCACGUAGUUUGAUGUUCUGUUGUGGGCGCAUACACAUGGAAAAUUGCUAUCUUCUUUAUCAUGUGAUAUCACUUCGUCCCCAUCACUUCCCUCGCUUUGAAGUAUGCUCUGCCUGAAAUUAAUAUAGCUACUCCUGCCUUCUUUUGAUUAGUAUAACUUUCUCUAUCCAUUUACUUUUCCCCUGCAUAUAAUCGAAUUUAUAUUUAAAAUGGGUUUGUUACAGACAACAUAUAGUCAAAUAUUGCUUUUUGACCCAGUCUGACAGUUUGUCUUUUGAAGAAUGUGUUUAGACCAUUGACAUUUAAAGUCAUUAUGAGAUAGUUGGAUAACAUGUACCGUAUUUGUUACUCUUUUCUAUGUGUUAUCCUAUACUGUGUUCCUGUUUGGGGCUUCCAUUCUUUCUCUUUCUUCUGUGGUUUUAACUGAGAAUUUUAUAUCAUUUCAUCUUUUCAGUUAUACUACUUCUUUUUUUUAACUUUAGAGGGUGCCUUUGAGUUUCCAAUAUACAUUUACAAAACCCAUUUCCACUUUCAGAUAACUCUAUGCACUUCACAAGUAGUGUACCUUAUAAUGACAAAAUAACCUUAAUUCUUCCUCCCUUUCCUUUGUCUUGGUGAUAUAAUUCAUUUCAUUUAUACAUAACUAUACACAACAUAUGCAUAUAAGCAUAUAUCGUCAAAUAUAUUGUUGGCAUUAUUUUGAACACAUUACCUUUUACCGUAAAUUGAUUUAGGUAAAUCAAGUUUUCAUUUUGCCAUCAAUGAUUCCUCCUCUGAUGCUUUUCCUUUCUGAUCUGAUUUUUUACUUUUCUCUGUAGAGCAUCCUUUACCAUUUCUUACAAAGCAGGUAUACUGGCAACGAAUUCACUCCGUUUCUGUUUGUCUGGGAAAGUAUUUCUUACUCUCCUUUGAAGGAUCGUUUCACAGGGAAUAGAAUUCUAGGGUGUUGGUUACGUUUUCUUUCACCAUCUUACUAUUUCACUCCCUCUCCUCUUACUUGUGUAGUUUCUAAGAAGCUUGAUAUAAUUUUUUCUUUUUCGUCUUCUCCAGAUGGCCUUUUUUACAAGAUUUUUCUUUAUAUUAGAUUAUCUGAAGUUUGUAGGUGUUCUGCCUUGGUGUAAAAAAAUUUUUUUUACAUGUAUCCUUCUUGGUGUCCCCUGAACUUCCUGAAUCUGUGGUUUGGUGUAUGACAAUAAUUUAUGGAAAAUUUCAGGCAUUAUUGAUUCAAAAACUUCCUCUGUUCCUAUCUUACGUCUUCUAGUGUUCCCAUUAUACAUAUGUUAAAACUUUUGCAUUUCUAUCAAAGUUUUUGUGUAUCGCUUCUUUUUCUUUGUUGUUUAUUUUUCCUCUUGGCUUUUAAGUUUUGAAAGCGUCUGUUCAAGUUCAGAGGCUCUUUACUCAGUUUUGUCCAGUCUGAUAAUGAUCCCAUAGAAGACAUUCUUCAUUUCUAGUAGUUACUGGUUUUCCGCAUCUUUUUGAUUCUUUCUUUGAAUUUCCAUCUCUCUGCUUACAUCGUCCACCUGUUCUUGCAUGCUUUCUCUUCUAUCCAUUAACACCCUUAGCAUAUGAAUCACUGUUCUUUGGAAUUCCCCAUCUGAUGAAUCUAACAUCUCUGAUACACCUGGUCUCGUUCUAUUGCUUGCUCUGUUUCUUCAAACAGUGUUUUUUACCUUUUAGUAUUCCUUGAAAUUUUUUCUUCAUAUCCAGGCAUGAGGUACUAGGUAAAACGUAUCCAGAGCUGGUUCCAGCAUAGGUUUAUGCUUGUGGAUUUCUAUUCUGUUAAGUUGUGAUUUUCUAUUUACAUGUAUCUUCAAUUUUGGUGCAGCAUUUUGCUCUGUGACUUCACCUCUCAGACAGAUCUAAGGUGAGUUAUUGAUUUUUUUUUUUUGGUUUGUUCAUUUUUCGUAACUUACUGUUAAAACAAAGUAAAGACUUCCAAGCUCCUAACAAGUAGGACUGGAAAUUGAACUCUUUAUUACAAGGUAUUAAAAAAUAAUUCAGAGGCCAUACUCUAACAAGGAAAUUUUUCUAAAAUCUGAGAUUAAAAAAAAAUCAGUGAUUUUAUAUCAUUCUUCAAGAGCAGUUUAGUUCAACAUUUUGACUCUCCCAUCCCUCCUAAACAAAAAUUCAUUAAUAUGUUUACCCCCACAAAGGCAUAGAGUGAAAUUGCUGUUGGAGCUAGGGAAUGGAUAUGUAUAGCCUUUUUAAGCUACAAAUGUUUCUUGGAGGUCCUACUAUGACACAGUCUUUUAAGAACCAGACUGCAGUGGCACCAAUUUGAUCUCUGCCCCAGUGCAGUUGAUUCAAGGAUCCAGUGUUGCUGUAGCUAUGGUGUAGUUUGCAGUUGCAGCCUGGAUUCAGUCCCUAGCCCAGCAAUUUCCAUAUCCUGUGGGUGCAUUAAAAAGAUGUUCCUUUUCGCUAUGACCAUAAAUAACAACAAAAAGUCAACAGUGGCCUUAAUCAUGAACAUCCCUAUUUUAUGGGCAUUACUGGAAUAAAUAUUGAACUUCAAUAUAUCUUGACUUGUUAAACUUUUCAGUUGAAGAACUAUUGCAUUUAGUGAUUAAAAUUAGAUUCAAAUUAAAAUUAGAAUUUUUCCUUUUUCCUGAUAACACUGUAUAACACAUGCUUCUCAAAAUUCUAUUAAAGUCAUCAGUGAAGGAACCAUUGAGACUACAAGAGAGCUCACUUAAUUGAGAAACAAGGAGAUUGGUUAGUCAAGAAAGAAAUGGUGGAGUAAGAACACCAUGAGCUCACCUCCUGCUACAGGCACAGUGAAAUUAGAACUAUUUAUGGAGGAACUGAGCAGUAAAGAUCUUCUUCAACUAAAGAUGCAAAGGCAGGUAGGAGGGGUGGAGUCACAGUAUAGUCAAGACCCACAUGCCUGGAUGGGCAAUGCAGAAAUGGGAGGAUAAUUGCUACUGCAGGGGUUCUCCCCAAAGAGCAACAGUCCAAGCCCCACAUUGAGCUCCCCAGCCCCAGGGUCCUGCACCAGGAAGAUGAGCCCUAGAACAUUUGACUUUGAAGGCCAUUAGGGCUCAUUUUUAGGAGAGCCAGAGGGCAGUGGGAAAUAGCCCAUUCCCAGAGGGCACACACAAAAUCUCACAGACUCUGGGACCCAGGGCAGAAGCAGUAAUUAGAAAGGAGCCUGGGUCAGACCCCACCUGCUGAUCUUGGAGAGUUUUCUGGAAAGGAAAGAGGUAAUCAGAGCUCACCCUGUGGACACAGACUCUGACAGCAACCAUUUGGGGGACUUUGUUCAACCAUGUGGACACUGGAGCUGGCAAGUGCUGUUUUAAAAUCCUCUUAACUAACUCCCAAGCACUGAGACUCAGUCCCAUACACCAGCCUAUCAGCUCCAGUACCAUGACACCUCAUGCCAAGUAACUAGCCAGGCCAGGUCACAGUCUCACCCACCAGCAGGCACGCUGCCUUAAGAACCUCUGAGCUCACAUCCACCCCGGGACAGAGCCCUAUCCACCAGAGGACCCCAGCCCAGCUGACUAGAAGCCCAACACCAACUCUGGUAACUUGAACUCCUGAGAGAGCUACCCUGGGACCCAGUUCCACUCACCACAGACCCCACAGCCAGCUGUGUCAGGAACCAGCCCUGUUCAACAGGACAGCAACAGCUCCAGGGCUGUGCAGCCCUAGAUCAUGGGACUUGAGUCCACCCACCAAUGAACCAGGUGCUUUGUGACCCAGUCCUGCCAACCAGCAGCUAGUGGCCUCCACACUAAUCAAGACCUAGAAGCCAACUAGACCAGGGACCAGCUGUGCCUACCAGACCACCUACAGUAGUCAGUCUGCCACAACAGAGGCACCUGCCAUGUAGGAGACACCCCUAAAGCAUAAAGCUCUCAUGAUCAGAGGGGCGCAUCCUUCUGAGCCACAUAGGACAUUUCCUACCUAGCCCACUCCUCCAAGAUCAUGAAACAAAACUGGCCUACCUAAUACAUUUAAAUAAAAACAGAAAAUUUGGCAAAAUGAGGUGACAGAGGAAUGUGUUCCAAACAAAGGAACAUGAUAAAAACCCCCUAAGAAGAACAAAGGGAGGUGGAGAUAAGCAAUCUAUCUGGUGAAGAGUUCAGGGCAGUGAUUAUAAAGAUGCUCAAAGAACUCAGGAGAAGAAGGAAUGGUCACAGUGCAAAACUUAACAAAGAGGUAGAAAAUACAGUUGAAUACAAUAACUGAAAUAAAAAAUACACCAUAAGGAAUCAAAAGGAGAUUAAAUAAUGCAGAGGAAUGAGUCAGUGAGCUGGGAGACAGAAUAGUGGAAAUCACUCAAGCUGAACAGAAAAAAAGAAUAAAGAGAAAUGAGGACAGUUAAGAGACCUCUGGAAUAACAUUAAGCAUAAUAAAAUUCAUGUUAUUAGAAUAUGAGGAGGAGAAGAAUAAGAAAAAGAGGCAGAGAACAUAUUUGAAGACACAGCAGCUGAAAACUUCCCUGAGAAAGGAAACAUAUCCAGGUUCAGGAAUCACUGAGUUCCAAAUAGGAUUAACUCAAAGACGUCCAUACCAAGAUACAUUGUAAUUAAAAUGGCAAAAAUUAAAGAGAAUAUUAAAAGUAGCAAGAGAAAAGCAACAAGUUGCAUACAAGAGAUCUCCCCUAGGGCUAUCCGCUGACUUUUCCCAGAAACUCUGCAGACCAGAAGGGAGUAGCAUGAUAUAUUUAAAGAGACAAAAGGGAAAAACCAGCAACCAAGAAUACUCUACCUGACACAGCUUUCACUUAGAGUUGAUGGAGAAAUCAAAAGUUGUACACACAAGCAAAAGCUAAAAGAGUUCAGAACCAUCAAGCCAGCUUUAUAAGAAAUGUUGGGGGGUGUUCCCAUAGUGGCUCAGCAAGUUACAAACCCAAAUAUUAUUCAUGAGGAUGUGGGUUAAAUCCCUGGCCUUGCUUAGUGGGUUAAGGAUUGCCGUGAUUCAUGGUGUAGGUUGAUCCUGUGUUGCUGUGGCAUAGGCCAGCAGCUAUAUCUGAUUCAACCCCUAGCCUGGUAACUUCCAUGUGCCACAGAUGCAGCCCUAAAAAGAAAAAAGAAAAGAAAAAAAAAAAAAG